Molecule: ribosomal RNA, 393 nt
Filed under: uncultured bacterium
Lineage: Bacteria
Description: partial 16S ribosomal RNA
Rfam family: Bacterial small subunit ribosomal RNA
Source: RNAcentral
AUACGGAAGGUCCGGGCGUUAUCCGGAUUUAUUGGGUUUAAAGGGAGCGCAAGCGGAGAUGCAAGCGUGACGUCAAAUUUCGGGGCUCAACCCCGUCUCGCGUCGCGAACUGCGUCCCUUGGUUGCGGGAAGGGGAGGCGGAACUCGUGGUGUAGCGGUGAAAUGCAUAGAUAUCACGAAGAACUCCGAUCGCGAAGGCAGCCUUCCGGCCCGUCAACGACGCUCAUGCUCGAAGGUGCGGGUAUCAAACAGGAUUAGAUACCCUGGUAGUCCGCACAGUAAACGAUGGACACCCGCGGUUUGGCCUAUAUGGCUGAGCCGCCAAGCGAAAGCGUUAAGUGUCCCACCUGGGGAGUACGCCGGCAACGGUGAAACUCAAAUGAAUUGGCGGGG